CGGCGGAACGGGUGAGUAACGCGUGAGCAACCUGUCCUCCACAGGGGGAUAACACAAGCGAAAGUUGUACUAAUACCGCAUAAGACCACGGAGAGACAUCUCUCAGGGGUCAAAGGAGCAAUCCCGGUGAACGGGUGGGCUCGCGUCCGAUUAGAUAGUUGGUCGAGGUAACGGCCACCAAGUCGACGAUCGGUAGCCGACCUGAGAGGGUGAUCGGCCACAUUGGGACUGAGACACGGCCCAAACGUCCCUACGGGAGACAGCAGUGGGGAAUAUUGGGCAAUGGGGGGAAAAACCCCCUGACCCAGCAACGCCGCGUGAGGGAAGAAGGUUUUCGGAUCGUAAACCUCUGUCCCAGGUGAAGUAGCAAGAGACGGUAACCUGGGAGGAAGCCCCGGCUAACUACGUGCCAGCCGCAGC
Molecule: ribosomal RNA, 420 nt
Filed under: uncultured bacterium
Lineage: Bacteria
Description: bacterial SSU rRNA
Rfam family: Bacterial small subunit ribosomal RNA
Source: RNAcentral